Acinonyx jubatus (cheetah) is the source of this 5981-nucleotide long non-coding RNA. RefSeq lists it as uncharacterized. The record is from RefSeq and is a predicted model, not a curated record. NCBI's taxonomy places the organism in Eukaryota, Metazoa, Chordata, Mammalia, Carnivora, Felidae. The transcript is spliced from 3 exons.
UUUAAAAUUUUUACCUUUUAGCUGCAUUUCUCAUUUAAUUGUCUGGUAUUGAUGGGGGGGAACUGGAGUUCUGACUGUUAUGCAUGGUACUUAUGCAUGGUACUUACGCAUGGUACUCAUUUAUCCACUUAGGUAGAUUCUGCAUGGACAUAGGAAGGGUCUCUUCCCCAUCAUUCCCACCCAUAUUCUUAGGAAAUGCUCUAAGGGAAGGAAUCAGUUGGGAGAGGGGUAGAGACAGCUUGUUGUUGGAAGGCAUAAUGAUGAGAUCAAAUGACAUUAGGCCACUCCGCAUUCGUGACGUUCCCAGGCCCCCUGAGCACCCACGACACUGCAGAGAAGUUCCCACCGGUCUUGCAUCGUCAGUGGUGUUCCCGCUUGCAGCCUCAUGGGAACGCACGUGGGGGCCGUGUCCAGGGGUGAUGCUGACGCACAGCUGUGCGCUGGUCCAAACAGUUCCGGGGAGGCACUGGGUGCUGGGCAAAGCCGGCACUUGUGAUGUCACAGAGGAAUCUCAGGGCUUGGAAGGCUGACAGAAUGCCUUUGCCAGCCCUGGGCUGCAAAUCAGAAGGGAAUUCGGCCUCCAGAAAGUUCACUUUCACUCCAGCCUGGAGCCAGUCAGAAUCAGUGCAGGGCUCUUAACAGAUUAUAGAUUGAUUCUGCUGAAAUGGAGAAAAAUGCAAAAGGCACAUCUUCUUAUUCCGAGUAGCACCCGCUGAUCCUCUCUAAGCAGAUGGACUGAUAAUUACUCCCAUCAAUAAGGAGGAAACGCUCAGUUCAGCCUUGCCGACCUGCGGAUUCCCUCCUCCUUUGCCAAAGCUGAGAAUGUGUAUGGAACAAAAACUGUAGGGGGAGCUAUUUUGUUUUGAAUGACGAGUGUAAUCUGCCUUUUCAAGUAAGCAAGAUAUUGAGAACAAUUUCACUUUUUGGGGCAUUAUGAAAGUGCUCUAGAAGGAGGCACAGGUCAUUAUAUAGGAAACUGUGUAAUAUGCAUCAGUGUGGAUCUGAAUGAGGUACGAGGCCCAUGCUCUCCCAGUUAUAUCACAUGAUAUUUGGGCAUCUUGGGGUAAAGUUGGGGGCACAGUCUUGAAAGCAAGACAGCCCUGGGUCCAGAUCACAGCUCAGCUGCUUAGCAUCUCAGCAGCCUUGGACAAGUUGCUUCAUAACCCUGUAAAAGGGUAAAAAGGAAAGAGGAACGUCUGCACAACCUCCCCCACUAAGUUCUUACUCGGAUUUAAUUUGACACUGCAUUUAAAAUUCAGCCGGUAGUCUGCACUCAACAAAUGGUUUUUCUAUCCUCCUUAUUUCUCUGGAGUGUCAGAUACCGCACUCUUUCAUCCUCAUCUAUGAAUGUUGCACUUCUAAUUGGUUUCUUGCCUUUUAUAAAGAAGAUGCGAUUGGGCUCACAAAAUAGGGCACAUACUCAAGAUUAGUCCUGCUGUUAAGUGUCCUCUGUUCAUUACUUUGAUGGGAUGGUUUGAGGAUGAAGUCUUUGCUGAAGAGUAUUUGAUGCUGUAGGAGAAUGUGUUUGUGCCUGAGCACAGGUCAGAAGAGAAACUAAUGAUGGAAUGGUAUUUGCUUCUGUGGAGAGGCCUGGGCAGUGACUUGAAAAUGAUUUUUGAACAAAAGCGUAUUUCCUGGUAUACCAAGGAUAUAUGGCUGUGACAGCCCGGGGACUGCUCGGCUCCUUACUCAGACAUAAUACUGCUCAGGGUAAGUCUCCUCCAGAACCCAGAAGACUAUAAGGUUAACAGCAAGCCAAUUUCUCUGCCUCCAACAAAAUAAAUAUUGCUUUGGAAUCCAUCUUAUAAAUCACAAAUGGGGCUUACUACUAGGCCAAGGAAACAAUUAGUAGUUAUCCAGUAAAUGGAAUCAAUAGAGGAAAAAACAACCGACCCACAAAAACACAGCAACAUAUUACAAGGGAAAAUGUUCUGCAUAUUGUCUUCUGUCGUGCUGGGCUAGGACAUCUUAAUGAAGAGCUAUAUUCUCUCAGGAUGGUACCCCAGAGAGCUUAUCAGAAGUGUUACUAAGAAGUCGCGGUCUUAAUUUUUUUUUUUCUCCAGCCUCGCAUAUGCAAGAGAAUUCCAUAUUUGACAGCAUCCUGGUACUUCCUUUAUUUAACAAAGACAUCUUAAUGUUUCCAUGACGGUAACAUGUGAGUUACCUCACGUCCAGUCUUAAAAUAGUUGUUACACUUAAGGAGUAUUAUUAGAAUAAAGCUGGAAGGAAACAUGGAGACAAUUACUCUAAUUCCCUCAUUUUAUAGGAGAGAAUCCAGGGGCCCUAGUGCCUUCUCAAGGCUGCACAAUGACUGGGGUCAGGGCUGGCUUGAGAAUUCAGAUUUGUAUUUCCAUACCGAUGCUCCUUUUAUUUUUUGACAUGUAAUAAUUCUUCUUGGUCUAGAAGAAGAUUAGAGUAUUAACAGUAGUUUAGAUGUGAGAGAAUACCACCAAACAGGCCCACUGUAUAAAUCAUUGCAGAAUAUCAUAGAGGAGGGACCACAAAGACCACAACGGUUACAUUUUACAGUCAAAGAAAAUGUGGCACAGAGAAGUUGAAUGACUUUCUAGGGACAACCUGGCUAAUAAUUGAUGGAGUCAAGAUUUGAACUCAUUGGAUCUGGCAUAUCUGGUACUAGUUAGAAUAUCGGCUGGAGUUGGCCUGGGGUUUUACUGGACUCAUCUCUGUUUUAGAGUAUUCUGAGAGAUGUCCUGACCCUGCUUCCGCGGGCUAUGAGGAAGCUUGCACUUUGGAAACACAUGAGAGAGGUUGGAAGUGUGGAUUAUUUAUAGCCUGAGAGGAGAAAGUUGUUCAACUUCAUUUCCAUCCCUAACCACAUGGGAGAAUAGGUUGGAGUAAUAGGAAGACCCUCAGUGGUUGUGAAGUGUGUGUGUAUACAUUGUGGUGGGGACUGUAUUAUGCCUGAGAGUCCUUUGGUUUUCUCUUUUCCCUUCAGCUUUCUGAGAUGCUCUGCCUUAUAGCCCAAAAGAGGUGGCUUUCAUGGCUCCUCUGACUGAACUCGGGGUAGAUACAGAUGGCCCCUCUGAGAGCGUCCCACCAGGGUUUUUGCAAUUAGGCAUAGUGAUUGAAUUAGUUAACUUUGGAGAGAUGUGUUGGAGUCACCUAGACUUGUGAUCCGAAGCCUCCGUCUCUGGGAUGCCACAGUCUGACACGGGUUUGUAACCAGGAAGCAACUGUGUGGAGAGAGAGAGAGGGGUAGGUGAGGGAAUGAAUGCAUUGCAUAUGCUUUCUCUUCCUCUAUCUACAGGUACUUGAACCCUGAUUUUUCAGCAUCACCGUGAGUAUUGUGACCAUAACGCCAGCACAAGGGAAAUGAAAAUGGGUCUUAAUAAUAUCAUUUGCGUCUGGAAUCUAGUUGUGCCCCAAAGCCAGCGUCUAUCCUGGGCAUUUCUGAAAAAGAGGCUUCUCUCUAUUUCUCUCUUUCUUUUUUGAUUUAAGUCAGUUCGAGUUGAGGUUUUAGUCCCAUGCAAGAGAAGGAGUUGUAACUGACACAGGAGCUUUGCACUGCCAGUAAAUUGCUUUGUUUUGCAGAACGCAAAGCCAAGCUUCAAGAAGAGAGAAAAGAAGUGCUGGAUGGCUCCUUUUUGAUUCUAGUUUCUUAUUUAUUUCUUGUUUUGUUGUUUUUGUAAAGAACAUAUAAGAAACUGUCCAACUGAAUGCCACAUGGUGCCUAGAUCCUGAUCCUUCUGCAGCAAAAACGUUUUUCUGUUCUCUGGAUCGUUCCUGGAUACUGUAGUUCUAGAAAUGAAGACAUGGAGAGGGCUGGCUGGAGUCAAAUUAAAAAAAAAAAAAGCAACCUGAAGGGGGUAGAAAUGAUCAAAGCAAAGAAAAAAGAGUGAAAUGUCCUAAUCUGAAGAUGAUUUCGUUUUCCAAAAGCUCCUAGCAAAUUGAGAAGGCAGCCAAAGGAAAGGCUUGUUUGGGAAGGUAUGCAUCAAAUAAAAGCAACAGCCAUGAAAACAGAAGGUCUGUCUUCUAAAAUGGAUUCCUGGCAGUGAAACUCACUGGCUAUAGCCAGCCCAGACUGAACUCCUUUCUUCAUCCUUGAAUGAAUCACUAUGGUCCCAGGGAUGUGAUGCUGUGCUUGGUCAGACUUGAGUCACCUGUCCACUUCUGGAUCUAUGGAGAUGAUGGACAUCACCCUGCUGAGAUUGUGGAAAGAGCAGUACGGGGAAAAUCAGGAUGCAAAAGAGGAAUGAAUGGAAGUCAGGCAGGAAAUGUGUCUCUUUCUGAGAAGAUGGAUGCUCCCCCCAAAAAUAAAGCAUGUGGAAGGUAAAUCGGUGUUUUUGGAUGGAUGCCUUGUUGGAAGAAGACAAGAGGGUGGUCAUGCCAUUCUUACCUGACUUUCCCUUCUUCUGCUUGAUAGUCCGCCUUCAGAAGCAGGGAAAAGGCUGGAAGGGAUUUCACUUUCAGGGAAGAGGAUGGAAGGACUUUACUGGGGUGUGCUCGCCAGACCCUGCCACUUCCCACACUAACAUUUAUGAGGUAGAAAGAAGAGAACUUGGAGAAUCUGUGAAAUUUGAUGUGGAAGACCGAAGGGUGUGAUCAUUUCCUGAGGCAGGGGACAUCUUGACAGGGUGACUAUGGCAGGCACCCCUGGUCUCCUCGGUCUGCCCUAGGAACUCAUUUGAUGGUGGGCUAUGUCUGUGAGAUAAAGCAUGGCUGGACAGUAAGAGGUCACUGGACUUCCACUGUGACCCCUUUGGGAUUACUUCCCACAUGCCUGGGCCUUAUCACUUCCGUCGAUCAGGACUUUCUCUUACUAUAAAAAGUGCAAUGGGACCAAAAUCCAUAUUAUCCACAUCUCUGCUCAUGUGCACCAUGACCCUCUUAUGCUUGGGAUUAAGUGAUUUCGUUAGAGUUUUGGGCUUUGGUUCGAGAAUUUGAUUGUUCUUUGAUGUCUUCUCUGAUUUGUAGGAAACCAAACUUUAUUUCUCUAUUUUGAUUUGCUUUUUCUUGAAGUGUGAUUUCCCCCUCGAUUGAAACAGAAAUGUUAUCAAGAGUAGAAGCAUCGUGGGCUGUCUCUUGGGUGUUCAUUGUAUGAUGUCUUCGUGAUAGCCCAAUUACAGGGAACAAAGCAUUUUAGGCGACAUCUCACCGGAGACUUGUAAACCAUAUUGUCACUUUGAUUUCUCUUCUAUCGCUUAUUUUUGUAUUUUCUUUGCUUUGGCUACAGUCCUCCGUGUGGUUUUUAAUCCAUCCCAGGUGCUCAACUUUUAAAAUGUAUUUGUGUGGUCAACAUGUUACACCAGAAUGGCCUCUCUUAAUCUGGAGUGAGUUUAGGGCUCAUUUUACAUGUGUUUGUACCAAUUCUUGUUUCGAAAAUUCAAAGGCCUUCCCAUUUUUAUGGAUACUGUUAAGGAAGCUAUUCAUAUCCUGGUAAUCAUAUGAUUAAUACACACUCCAUUUCAUGGCUUCUAACAUAGCCAACUGUAGAUGAAAUAUUUUAGGUAGCUAUGAAUUCUAUUUGAAGUUGUGAUAAGAACUGACAUUUAUGUUUGCCACUGAUAAAGGGAUUUUUUAAAUGUCCAUUUACUGAUUCAGCAUUGGGAAUUCUUUAUAAGCGGAAAAGAAAAUAACAUGACUUUGACAUCUUGGCCUCUGUUGCUGCAGAGUCUCUACCCUAGGCCUUAAUGCAGCAAGGGUGAUGACUUUGCUGUCUAAUAGAAUUUCUUGCAAUACUAGAAAUGUUUUACCCUGUAUUGACCAAUAUGGUAGCCCCAGUAACCACAUGUGACUGUUAAGUGUUUGAAAUGUUGCUAGUGUGCCUUACAAACUAAGAUUUUGGUUUCCUUUUAUUAAUCUAAAUUUAAAUAGUCACAUGCAUCUUGUAGCUAGUUGUAGUAUUCAUGAACAGAAGGUUGAUUAUAGAGACUUCUGUUAAGUUUGUGAAUUAUUUUCCUGUUCUUCCUCACCUUGUAUUUAAAUCUGCCUUGAAAAAUAAAUAAUGAUGGUGAUAAUAA